This 465-nucleotide ribosomal RNA is filed under the name uncultured bacterium. RNAcentral's name for it is "partial 16S ribosomal RNA". It matches the Rfam family "Bacterial small subunit ribosomal RNA", at positions 338 to 795 of the family's 1533-position model. The record is from RNAcentral.
CCUACGGGUGGCAGCAGUAGGGAAUCUUCCACAAUGGGCGCAAGCCUGAUGGAGCAACGCCGCGUGGGUGAAGAAGGUCUUCGGAUCGUAAAACUCUGUUGUUAGAGAAGAACGUGCGUGAGAGUAACUGUUCACGUUUCGACGGUAUCUAACCAGAAAGUCACGGCUAACUACGUGCCAGCAGCCGCGGUAAUACGUAGGUGGCAAGCGUUAUCCGGAUUUAUUGGGCGUAAAGGGAGCGCAGGCGGUCGUUUAAGUCUGAUGUGAAAGCCUUCGGCUUAACCGAAGUAGUGCAUUGGAAACUGGGAGACGUGAGUGCAGAAGAGGAGAGUGGAACUCCAGGUGUAGCGGUGGAAUGCGUAGAUAUAUGGAAGAACACCAGUGGCGAAGGCGGCUCUCUGGUCUGUAACUGACGCUGAGGCUCGAAAGCGUGGGUAGCAAACAGGAUUAGAUACCCGAGUAGUC